AUUAUGGUGUAAUUUCAGUGGGAUGAAUGCACCAACUGUCUGGUUAUUUCUGCUUUUCUGUAUUAAUGCUUUUAAGAAGUGUGUUCUGCUUAGGUUGUCUACAACUUGGUACUCUGUCUUUGCAUUUGUUUUUGAUAGGUGUUAGGAUUCCCAUAUAGUUGCAAAUAAAAUCUGUCAGAAUAUUUGCCUGUAUCUGAGGACUGUGUUGCUGCUGACUGACUUCUCUAGUGCUCUACCUGCAGUUGAGUGUGCAGGGGAAGAGUUCCAAGUAUUACACUGUUGUGAAUGCUUGCUGGGAGCCCCAGGCAGCUGCCUUAGCCUUGCUUGAGGCCCCUGUGGCACGGUGGAUGUGAGGGCAGAGCCAAGGACUUGGCUUCCUCUUUUCCUCUUUCCUCAGUUCCAUUGAGACUGACUCUAUCACUUUUCAGAUUCCUUUGGGGUUUAAAAGGAGAUGGAAUUCUAGCUUGUGGUUUAAUGGUCAUCUAGCCUGACUGAGAGAACAGUUAUCCCAGGCAAAAAGGCAGAUAGGAGGUGCCCUAAGUGUGGGCAUGGCUUAGGGAGUGGUGAGGGCUAGCCAACACUCCACUUUUAUCCAGUUAGUCAUUUUUACAUGAUCCUCUGUCAUUUUUUUCCAAAAAUAUCCUGUUGCCAAUCUUUUGCUGAAGACUGUUUCCCUUUGAAAACAUAAAAUAACAGAUUGUUCUGUGCACUUAGCUGCUGUUGCUACAUGAGGGGAUGCUCCUCUCAUGCUCAGUGAGUGAGUUGCACACAUCAGGCCUCUGGUAGAUGGGCCAUAAUAUUCUGAGCUCAUUGCCAAGUUGUGAUUAAAGGUUUUACAUUGUCAAGAGAAGGUAUGUUUUUCUUAAGGACUCUGAUAUGUUUAUAGGAGAUAGUUCAGAAAAUGGUGGUUGAAAACAAAGGGUUUGCUAACACAAAGACCCAGGUUGAUGUUCCUUCUCCGGUACAGAAAUGGUGACUAUGAAUAACUGCUUUCAAGGACUGAGUUCAAAAUCUCAACCUUCCCUGGCACCUUACAGAAGUACAGAGCUAACAGUGUAAUGAAGAAUAAUAAGUCCAUGGAAAGAGGUGUAUUAUACUGGUUGAAAUAAAAAUAAAAAUUUGGUGAGUAUGAGACUGAAUGACUAGUGUUAAGAAGUAGCUUCAAUACAUAGUUAAAAACUACUUACAUUUUCUUUAAAAAAAAAUCUUAGUUUAGCCAUAUUAUGUUAUAUUGCCAAAUAUCUUGAACCCUAAUUGUUUGUUAUACCCUAAAGAUUGGAAAAAUUAUGCAAAAAGUAACUGUAAUUCCAGCUUCUGUUAUUUUUAGAACUAGCCUUUCCCUGGUGAUGAACAUAUUAUUACUAUUUUGCUAAACAGACAUAGAUUUGAGCUUCCCUCUAAAUAUCUCUAUGCCCAUAGAUUACCACAGCUCUAUACCUUAUCAAAUAAGGUGAUUAACACAGAUGUUCACAGCCAAUCAGAGUGCAAAACAUCAGUAUCUGUAGUGUGCUUGGCUCCAGAUGGGACAUCUAUCUUACCACCUACCCCAGGCUCAGAGGCUGUCUCAGAAGACAGAGAGGAAAGACUGCAGGAGUCAGGCAGAGGCCAGGAAGAACUGGAUGGCACUGCACUGAGGAGCUCAGCAGCUGUGGCUGAACCAGACCCACACAAGGUUAAGCAGGUCAGCAUCCAGCAGGAAAUGGGCAAGGGCUCAGGAGACUCCAGUCCUAACUGUGUUCAUGGCUUCUGGGGAAGAAAGAAUCAGUAGUCUCUUGGUGGAUAGGCUAUACUCCGUUGGAUGACCACACACACAGGAGUAUAUGGGUAGUGCAUUGGACUGGUGUGUUAUUUUUUUUUUUAAUUUAAAAAACAACACACUGUUGGGAGGGGAUGGAGUUGUGGUAGAUCUGGGAGGAGUUAGGGAUAAAUAUGACCAAAGUACAUUGUAUGAUGUUCUCAAAGCAAAUAAAAAUAUUGUUUGAAAAUUG
Molecule: long non-coding RNA, 1988 nt
Filed under: Mus musculus (house mouse)
Lineage: Eukaryota; Metazoa; Chordata; Mammalia; Rodentia; Muridae
Description: long non-coding RNA chr16:13309968-13311956
Source: RNAcentral